This 500-nucleotide ribosomal RNA is filed under the name uncultured bacterium. RNAcentral describes it as "partial 16S ribosomal RNA". It matches the Rfam family "Bacterial small subunit ribosomal RNA", at positions 30 to 523 of the family's 1533-position model. The record is from RNAcentral.
AUUGAACGCUGGCGGCAUGCCUUACACAUGCAAGUCGAACGGCAGCACGGGAGCAAUCCUGGUGGCGAGUGGCGAAUGGGUGAGUAAAGUAUCGGAACGUGCCCAGUCGUGGGGGAUAACGUAGCGAAAGUUACGCUAAUACCGCAUACGAUCUAUGGAUGAAAGCGGGGGAUCGCAAGACCUCGCGCGAUUGGAGCGGCCGAUAUCAGAUUAGGUAGUUGGUGGGGUAAAGGCUCACCAAGCCGACGAUCUGUAGCUGGUCUGAGAGGACGACGAGCCACACUGGGACUGAGACACGGCCCAGACUCCUACGGGAGGCAGCAGUGGGGAAUUUUGGACAAUGGGCGAAGGCCUGAUCCAGCCAUGCCGCGUGUAGGAUGAAGGCCUUCGGGUUGUAAACUGCUUUUGUACGGAACGAAAAGGUUUGGCCUAAUAAGCUGAGCUCAUGACGGUACCGUAAGAAUAAGCACCGGCUAACUACGUGCCAGCCGCCGCCGUAA